RNAcentral lists this transfer RNA (68 nucleotides) under Metanephrops sibogae (Siboga lobster). Its description in RNAcentral is "tRNA-Glu". The record is from RNAcentral. Lineage: Eukaryota; Metazoa; Arthropoda; Malacostraca; Decapoda; Nephropidae.
AUUUUUAUAGUGUAAUAUAAACACACUACAUUUUCGUUGUAGAACUGAAGUUGUUUCUUCUAAAAAUU